CUUUGCUUGUCACUAUUUUUUUUCAGAACUAGCAUCACAAGAGUUGGGAAGGCUUACUGUUACCUAAAUGCAACUCCUGCAUGAAUUAGAGGGUUGCUGCAAAGGAAGCAGCACCAUCAAGGAGAAACUGCAGAGAAUGCUCCUUCAUGAUUGUGCCUCUACCAUUGUGUCGUACCUCACGCUUGGAACUCACCUUGGACAGGACCAUCCCCAUCACCUUCAUCUUUCCUGAGCAAGGUCAGCUUUCUGUAUGGUUCAUGGUAAGCCAGCAUCGAAAGGCAGUAUCAUCCAUCAUUUAGGUUUCCUCAGAAGCUACGGUCUAGAUAGAUUUUCCUUAGGAUUUCUCAUGAGUGGAGAUGUGAAAACAGCUUCUGGUCUUCAAAGUUCACCAGCAUUUUAUAUUCUGUAGCUGUGCUUUUCACAUGAGGAGAAGGCUGAGUAGGAGAGAUGUGUGCAGGUUAAUGUCUUUUUUCAGAAAUUAACAGUCUACAAAUGAUAAUGAGCUUAGUGAAUCUUAUUAACACAAGUUACAGCUGACUGACAAGUAACAAACCUGACUGCCUGUUAUUUGUUUUGGACCUGUUCAGCUGGAUGGACAAGAAUAAUUGCAUUUUUAGACAUUGUUAAAUCCACAAAACAUCAAGAUGCAAUGCAUACAAAGCUGGAAACAACUCUCAGUGAGGCAACUCUAAAUGGUAAAUGGAUAAGGAUAAGGAUAAAUAGCACAAAAUAAACCCCUCAUACAUUUGGUUAAUCAACUCUAUUCCCCUUUUCCUCUCAUCUUUCAAAUUCACAGGCAAAUGACAUUUGCCUUUCCCCAGCAUGCACCUCUCCUUUAAACCAGGGAGUUUGCCUGGGGCCAUACCUAUAUAUCUGAUCCAUGCAUAAUGAAGCAUGAAGCUGCCAAUUGUAGGGAGCGUCUGCUGUGUCAGAGACUGAUAGGCAUUUCAUUUGCUGAACUCCCAAGGGCCCUCACGCUUCUCAGGUUUCAUGUAGUAUUUAUUUUAGGCACUCACAUUUCUCAUCUGUGAACUUCACACCAUAUGUAGAAUGAGUAACACAAGCUCUGCAUGAAAAAGCUCUCCAGGUAGUUUUAAAUGUAACUUGGUGGACUGGGGACAUUAUGGACUUGAAAAAUAGGCUCGCAUGAGAAAUGGAGGAAUAUUGAGCUUUGUUCAUACAACAGCUGUCUGAGUCUUUCACUGAAUAAGAAUGGCCUUAUUCUAAUAAAAUGACUGCUCUACACUUCUACCACACAAAUUGUUUUGUAGUGUGCACUGUGCAGAUCUACAUUUUUCACAAGUUAUUGCUACUCUGCCACACUGUCCGCAAGGAAAUGUUCAUUUGCUGUUUCUAAAGUGCAGUUUUGUUGGGUCUGAGGCUCAGACAGUCAGGGUGAACUGAUGGAUAGCAAGCCCAUAUGCCAUGCAGCUUUGAAAUCUGAAGGCUGAAUAACAAUUCUGAAAAGAUUGCUUUGGUUCUCAAAAUCUGGCCAUACAGAAUUACUGAGGCAAAUAUAUGUCUCUUGUUUAUUUUUGUUGGUAGGGAUCUAGAAAAUAUUUCAUAUGAAAUGCUCUCUUUUAGCAUAACAGUGAAGGAGAAUAAUAGAGAGGAAUAAAAGAAAUGUCUGUUCUCCAUUGGUAUUUUUCUGAAUAGGUGUUUCUAAGCAUAGCAAAACCUUUGGCAUUUGCUUCUUGGUUUGUAGGCAAGGUGAUUAUGACAGCCUUAUGAAAAAUCCUCACGUAAGUGUUCAUAGGGGACAAUCUAUCUGGCGCAGCCUGAUGAUGUAGACUAGGCAGUAAAACUAACAUUCAGAAAAAACAGAUCUGUUUGACUGCUUGGCAAUCAAAGUGUGUUUCUGGGAGGAGACAAAUACUAUGUUCUUAAUCAGGAAUAUUUAAAUAUGUGUGCAGUAUGAAGCAUUUCACUAUUUCACUGGUUCUGAUGGCAGAUCACUCUUGUAGAAAUCAAUGUGCUCACAGGCUCAUGCUGUGCUGAGGGAGCAGACCCUCUGCCAGUUCGAAGUGCUGUAAUGAAGCAAUGUCAAUUUAAAACAGAAGCAUUGUUACCCUGCACUUCCAUCUUCAUCUGUUUGCAACACUCUGGUUUCAUGAGUGCUCAAUGUCCAAACUUCCUGUGGCAAUCAGCUUUCUCUAUUUUGGCCUUUAUUCAAGGCAAUUCUGGGGGGUUUUAUCAUUAAAAAAAAAAAAAAAAAAAAAGAAAGAAGAAAAAAAGAAACAGCAACUUCAAAGCCCUUUUCUGUGAGUUUUGUAUGUCAUCUACAAUGUGUAAUAGGCAAUGCUGUGAAUGAGACAGUUCACUACUAUUAAGCUAAUGAAAUACAAAGUGUAAGUGGUUUCAUUAUGCCAGCAGCAAUUCUUUUUUAUAUUUCAUUGCAAUACUUAUUCCAUAGUAUGCUUUACAGUAGGAAAUUCUAUUGAAAAUUUUUUCUUCUUAUUGAAUUUGAGCAGAAAAAAGACAUUGCAAAAUUCUACUUCAUGUAUAUAUAAUCUUCAAAACAAAGUGAAUGAAUAGAGUUGCCUGCAUGGAAUUAGGGUAUUACAAUAAUGAACGCAAUCAUGUUGUGAAAGGCUUUUUAUAUUGGUCAGACUCACAUGAGAGUGCAGCAAGAUUUGUUUGGCAAGCAGCAUUUUGGUAAUCUCUGGCUUUCAAAUUCCUAAUCACGAGUUCACCUCAAUGUAAAGGUUUUAUUUCUAAUAAAUUAUUUGCAUACACUUA
Corvus hawaiiensis (hawaiian crow) is the source of this 2739-nucleotide long non-coding RNA. RefSeq lists it as uncharacterized. The transcript has 7 exons. The record is from RefSeq and is a predicted model, not a curated record. Lineage: Eukaryota; Metazoa; Chordata; Aves; Passeriformes; Corvidae.